CUUCAGAGUGCUGAAUGGCUACACUCAACAUCUAGAACAGGCCUGUAUCAUGCCAACUCUAGGCCUGCUCACCCUCCUCAGGCCACAAGUGCCAGCAUGGAAAUUGCGACACACAGAAGAGUGAGCAGGAGGCCAGUUGCAUCAGAGGACUCAAGAGAGACUCCAGGUGGAUUUGAAGAUUGGAUUGGCAGGACAAGCAGCUGAGCACUGAAACCUAAUUUACUGUCUUGAUAAAACAUAUGGGACAGCAAGACAGAGGACUCAAAAAUACUUCCAGUUGAAACAGGUGACAGAGCAACACAUGUGUAGCACAUCCUAAAAAUAAGGCAGAAGACAAGCAGUUUACAAGCACUUCUGACAGCACUAGCCUAAUACGCCUGUGGUCAUCCCUAAGCUUCCCUCAAACUGUACCAAAGUAGGUCAUCCACUUUUUCUCUUGAGCAAGUGCAGCAGCUUCAGACCAACUAUAUUUUUCUGCCCUUCUCACUCCUCUCAGGUUGUGCUUUACAUUUGCUCUUACAUACCACUGUCUGCCAUUUUCCUUAGCCUGCUAUCUAUCCUUGGUGCCUUUACACCAUACAUCAGUACAUCAGCCCUUUCACUUCCACUCGUGUGGUGCCAUCUCACUGUAUCUGUGUGGAAACCUACCGUGCCAUGGCUGCCUAAACCCUUACAUGUAUGCAACCCUGCUGAGGGCAGGAGGAGAUCAGGGGGCCUGAAGGGAACCAUCAAGGACUGCUCUAAAAGACGAUUAAGCAACACACAUUUCCAGCAUAGCGGCUCUGUGCGUGCAUUCACCAGGUCCAGGGAGAUAACACAUCUGAGGAAGAUGGAGUCUCCUUUGGCCGGGGAGGCCGUCUGGAGGACGAAUUACAGGGCAAGGACAGGACUCUCCCUCAGCACUGGGCCUCUGCCAAGGCAAUGAGAUGAAAGGACUUGACCUCUGAAACUUGCCCAAGGAUUAAAUGAGCUUCUUCACAUUGCGUA
This is a long non-coding RNA of Pipra filicauda (Wire-tailed manakin), 987 nucleotides long. RefSeq lists it as uncharacterized. The transcript has 3 exons. The record is from RefSeq and is a predicted model, not a curated record. Lineage: Eukaryota; Metazoa; Chordata; Aves; Passeriformes; Pipridae.